AUUGAACGCUGGCGGCAGGCCUAACACAUGCAAGUCGAACGGUAACAGGAAGAAGCUUGCUUCUUUGCUGACGAGUGGCGGACGGGUGAGUAAUGUCUGGGAAACUGCCUGAUGGAGGGGGAUAUCUACUGGAAACGGUAGCUAAUACCGCAUAAUGUCGCAAGACCAAAGAGGGGGACCUUCGGGCCUCUUGCCAUCGGAUGUGCCCAGAUGGGAUUAGCUAGUAGGUGGGGUAACGGCUCACCUAGGCGACGAUCCCUAGCUGGUCUGAGAGGAUGACCAGCCACACUGGAACUGAGACACGGUCCAGACUCCUACGGGAGGCAGCAGUGGGGAAUAUUGCACAAUGGGCGCAAGCCUGAUGCAGCUAUGCCGCGUGUAUGAAGAAGGCCUUCGGGUUGUAAAGUACUUUCAGCGGGGAGGAAGGGAGUAAAGUUAAUACCUUUGCUCAUUGACGUUACCCGCAGAAGAAGCACCGGCUAACUCCGUG
RNAcentral lists this ribosomal RNA (490 nucleotides) under uncultured bacterium. RNAcentral describes it as "partial 16S ribosomal RNA". It matches the Rfam family "Bacterial small subunit ribosomal RNA", at positions 30 to 507 of the family's 1533-position model. The record is from RNAcentral.